AUUGAACGCUGGCGGCGUGCUUAACACAUGCAAGUCGAGCGGCAGCGCGGGAGCAAUCCUGGCGGCGAGCGGCGAACGGGUGAGUAAUGCUUCGGAAUCUGCCCUUCAGUGGGGAAUAACCAGUCGAAAGACUGGCUAAUACCGCAUACGAACUGAGGUUGAAAGCAGGGGAUCGCAAGACCUUGCGCUGAUGGAUGAGCCGAAGUCGGAUUAGCUAGUUGGUAGGGUAACGGCCUACCAAGGCGACGAUCCGUAGCUGGUCUGAGAGGACGACCAGCCACACUGGGACUGAGACACGGCCCAGACUCCUACGGGAGGCAGCAGUGGGGAAUAUUGGACAAUGGGGGCAACCCUGAUCCAGCGACGCCGCGUGUGUGAAGAAGGCCUGCGGGUUGUAAAGCACUUUUAGUGGGGAGGAAGGUCUGCGACCUAACACGUCGUGGAAUUGACUUAACCCACAGAAAAAGCAACCGGCUAACUCUGUGCCAG
This 489-nucleotide ribosomal RNA is filed under the name uncultured bacterium. RNAcentral's name for it is "bacterial SSU rRNA". It matches the Rfam family "Bacterial small subunit ribosomal RNA", at positions 29 to 511 of the family's 1533-position model. The record is from RNAcentral.